Long non-coding RNA from Daucus carota subsp. sativus, 728 nucleotides. RefSeq lists it as uncharacterized. The transcript has 2 exons. Lineage: Eukaryota; Viridiplantae; Streptophyta; Magnoliopsida; Apiales; Apiaceae. The record is from RefSeq and is a predicted model, not a curated record.
GCACGAAACGAAAUGCUUUAGUUUUUCUGAAACAAAAUGCCGAUACAGAAACAAAUCAAGAGCAAUGAUAUGAACACUCCAAACAAAGAGCGGCAGCUUAAUGUAGAGAAAUCAGAAGUGUGCUGCUACGGGUUUCAAAUCCGAACACAAACACAUGAUGCUGCUCCGACUUUCAAAUCCUAUGGGGUUUCUCAUGACUCAACUGGUAUGCUCUUCUAUUACAAUUAUUUACAAUAUUCUUUCUUUUUCUCAUGAUUUUGAGUGGAAUUGCGAAAGGGUUGACUUUAAUCUUGUUUGUUUAUGGGUAUUUGUUUGCUUGUUUAAUCCUUGUGUUUUGUUUGGUUUUUGAUGUUUUUGGCGAUUUUUCGUGUUACAUGUGAGACGCUUCGUUCGCUUCGCAUACGACGAGGCAACUUGAUCGAUAGCAUAGCGGUGGUGGCCGAUGGUGGCGGUGACGACGAUUUCAGAACCGGAUCCGGUUUCAGAAAGGAAAGCGCGCUAAUUAUGCCUUAAUUGAGGGCGGUAAUCGUGCAUGGUUAAUUGCGCCUCUUUAUUGAGGACGUAAAUUUUGCCUCAAUUAUUGAGAUUAUUGGAAGAAGACCGGUUUUCUUUUCGGACAUUAAAGUUUUAUUGUCUAAAUUUCCCCGGUCAUCUUGCAUGUCCGACGGUUAGAUAAUAAGCUUUCUUGAAUGAAAGAAUUAUCACGGUGAAUUGCCGAUUCUCGUUGA